AUGGCUCAGAACGAACGCUGGUGGCGUGUCUUAUACAUGCAAGUCGAGCGAGGCAGCAAUGCCGAGCGGCGAACGGGUGAGUAACGCGUAAGCAAUCUGCCCCAUAUCAGGAAAUACCCGUGCCAACGCGCGGUUAAUGUCCAGGAGAGUGGCCUUCCGCAUGGAAGGUUGACUAGAGAUUUAUCGGUAUGGGAUGAGCUUGCGUCCGAUUAGCUAGUUGGCGGGGCAACGGCCCACCAAGGCGACGAUCGGUAGCCGGCCUGAGAGGGUGAUCGGCCACAUUGGGACUGAGAUACGGCCCAGACUCCUACGGGAGGCAGCAGUAGGGAAUAUUGCACAAUGGGGGAAACCCUGAUGCAGCAACGCCACGUGUGGGAAGAAGCAUUUCGGUGUGUAAACCACUGUCAUGAGGGAAUAAGGCCCGCCUUCGGACGGGAUUGAAUGUACCUUGAGAGGAAGCACCGGCAAACUUCGUGCCAGCCGCCGC
Molecule: ribosomal RNA, 487 nt
Filed under: uncultured bacterium
Lineage: Bacteria
Description: bacterial SSU rRNA
Rfam family: Bacterial small subunit ribosomal RNA
Source: RNAcentral